UGAUCAUACUAUAGGAGAUGAAUAAUUUGGCAAGUCAACAAUACACAUAUGAAUAACAAUAUGCCAUUCCAUAAGAAAUAAUGCUCAGUUCUUUAAUACAUUUUUCAUAUGAUGGCUACAGAAAGCAAAUAUAACCUAUUUAGCAACAGACUUUCAUGUUUUCGAUAAUUGAGACACUCCCUAGUGUUUGCAGCGGAAAAUGUUCAGACUCAAAAACUUACUAUACACGACAAUAGAUACACCUACAGCCGCAAGCUCUACAGGGUUGUUUAUCCUGAAACAAUAUUAGAGCAAUCAAAUUACCAGUAUACAACGUGAGCUAAAAACUAUGGAAAUGUAUUUGUACAUCAAAGUAGCAGGAUGUAGGUUGAUACAAACUGUAUGACAAGUACAAAAUAAAAGACCAGUGAUGUAACUAUAAUGUUAAGUUACACAAAAUUCCAUGCUAGAUUGACCAGCAAUCAUUUUCAGCACAUGUUGUCUAAUUCCCACACAUUAAGCAGAGAGAAACUGAGAUGAGAAUCAAUGAAGCAAUACAACUUGGAUGCAACACACCUCCCAACCCAAAGCUUUCAUGAAAAUACCAAAAAGUGAGGUAACUAUUUGUUUGUUCCAUGGUACCAUGAUAAUGGAUUGGCUUUUCAAAAUGCCCUGAUAUAUCCUAUUACAGCCAGAACAUGGAAACUUUAUACUAUUGUGCAGGUGUUCAACUCCAAGUUAAAAUAUGGAUUGAUAGUUGUGGUAGACCAUAAUUACCUUCAUUGGUAAUUUCAGCCGAGAAUCACCUUACAGAGCAGGAACCAAAAAGAAAUCAAAGAAAAGGACAGAUAUGAAAUGACCCAUCCCUGGAGCUCAUCCCAGACUAACCAC
RNAcentral lists this long non-coding RNA (870 nucleotides) under Triticum aestivum (bread wheat). RNAcentral describes it as "long non-coding RNA (TAES_LNC026114)". The record is from RNAcentral. Lineage: Eukaryota; Viridiplantae; Streptophyta; Magnoliopsida; Poales; Poaceae.